This 2725-nucleotide long non-coding RNA is filed under the name Homo sapiens (human). RNAcentral's name for it is "HSALNT0394218". The record is from RNAcentral. Lineage: Eukaryota; Metazoa; Chordata; Mammalia; Primates; Hominidae.
AAGUAAUCCCUGCUGCCCUUUCGCUGGCCCAGGAAGGGGUAAAUCACAGAUCAGUGUCAGAGGUGCGAUGAAAACCCAGGAGUUCUGAUUCCUGGGUCACCAUGCUCCCUUUGCCAAGGGUGGAGCCGACACCAACAGACUCUUAGCUCCUGUGCCCUGUGCAUCCUGGUGUUCGUGCACGUGCUGCACGGAAGAGCUGCAUCCUGGGACAAUUUUAUGGCUGAUGAGAACAUAUCCUGAUCCACUCCACAUUUCAGUGUAACCUUGCAGUAUACCUGUAACACUGGAGGCACACAUCUCUUCCCUAGCAGCCCUUAAGAACCUGAAUGGUAGAGAGAGGGAGGAUCACAAAAGUUUGCUUCCAGCUCUAUACUCACCCACAGCCUGCAGACAGAUCAUCAGAAAAUUCAACUUUCAAGUGAGGAUCAUAAGCCAGAGAGUGCAGGACUCCACACCAGGGCAGAUGACCUGUGGAUUCCAGAAGCUCUCAGGAAUUUUGCAGAUUUCUCAAGGGCAACCCUGUCCAUAGAACGGGGAAAAGAACAAGCCCAUGCCUCCAAAGAGAAACUUCACAGUUCGCCUAAGUUUAACCUCUAGUGAUUCAUUCUCUUGUGUGUGGGGGCCUUCUGAUCUCUGGGAGCUCCCUCAAAGGCAAACUCCCAUGCAGAGGGCAUUUCUGAGGACUGAAAUCCAGGUGAUAAUAGUAACUACUGCUUUUUUAGCAUUUAGUGCUAACUUUGGCAUUUGGGCAACCAUCAAACACUCUCUUCCAUCAUCUCGCCCCUCCACCCACAGCCCUGUGUUAUCAAUCCCCUUUCCCAGCCAACCUGGGGACAAGUUGACUUGUCAUCACCAUCUGUACCUCCCCACUUUACACUCUCUCCACAGUCCACUCCACUAGGGCAUUGGCUGCACAUGUCACCAAAACCACUCUUGUCAGUGUCACCAAAAACUCCCAUGUUGCAAGAUACAAAGGCCAUUUUUCGGUCUCUUGUACUGAGCCUCUCCUAGAAGCAUAAGGUCCCUGGGCUUCCUUGGCACCUCCUCCGCCAGCAUCUUCUCCUCUUUUUGGCUGCUCCUGCCAUAGUUCACCCACUGCCCUCUCCUUCUACCACUCUGUCGAGUACUGGUGCACCCCAGGGCUCAGUCCUAAGCCCCAUUCUUCCCUCUAUCCAUGUGUGCUCCUGCAGUCCCAUGGUUUACACACCAUGCAUUUACCAAUGCCUUUAUAUAGUUCUCCCACCCAAACCUCUCCCUGAGCUCCAGCCAGAAUCACAUAUACAACUGCCUACCUGACCUCCCCACUCAGAUAUAUUACAGAUCACUCGGCUAGUAGCUGGCUAAGGCAGGACAUAAACUCAACUUCAGGUAGAUCUGAUCUCAAGGCCUGCAUUCUUAAUGACUCCUGGACUAGAAUCCAAGGAGACAGCUAUAAACUCUCUGAGAGAAGAGGCAUCUCCACUCCAAAGAUCUACCCAAUGGCCUAGGACAGACUUAUUCCAUCACUUCUCAUGCUGUGAGAAAUCUGUCAUUGUGGGAUUUCCCCACUUAAGUAUAACUAGGUGGUUACCUUUCCUGCAAUUUUCAAACAGGGCAGAUAUGUUAGGGGUAACAUGGACCCACAAACACCUGGUAUGUCUGUGUCUUCCCAGAGUGUAAACUCUGCUCAAACAUGGACACAGAAAGGCAGACAGCAGGAGAAAUCAUUUUCCUACAAAGAGAAAACAGAUGUGUCUUGGAAGAGAAAAUGAGAUACAACUUUUUGUAAUUUAAAAAACAAGACUUCAAACUUCAGGUGGACACCUUAGCCUUCUGCCACAGAUUCAAAGGAUAUAAAGUAGAACUACAAAGAGCUUAAGUCCUGACUCCUAGAAGCUUGUUUCUAAUAUCUGCCUCCAUUAGCCUUCGUCUUAAACCAGGAAGGUGGUAUGAACACUCAACAAACCGUCAGUGUACUUUGGAAGAGGUGGGAUAAAAGUGGACAUUUUUGCCUUGCCUCUGAUGUCUUUAGCGAAGCCAAAUAAAUCUGGAAAGAAAAAUUAAAUAUUUCCCUGAAACCUCACAGGAGAAAAAAAGAGAAAGGCUUUCAGAAGUCCCCAGAGAAACAAGAAAUGACUAUUUCCAAAACAAAGUUUGAUUUGAAAUUAUAAGAAGCUAGAGGUAGUUUUGAAAACCAGUGAACACUCAUGAACUUAAUCAGGCUUAGCAAAGCAGAGACAGAAAUGCAGAUUGGAAGUUGCCCCUGGAUAGCUUGGCCAGCAGAAUAAAACCCAGAGGCAGAAUCAAUUUUUUUUCUUUCAGAUUAAAGCCGCAGCAUCUCUCAGUUGAAGGCAGAGGUAUAAAGUCAAAGACUCCAGAAGUUCUUGGAAAAUGAUAAGUCAAUCUCUUGACAAAUGAUCCAGGGGCAACUUCGAAUUCCUGUUUCUAUCUCUACCUCUCUGAUUACUUUAACAAGCACUUUCUGAUUGGACCUUGGUAAUUCCAGCAAGCCAAGACUUUCCAUGGGACUUCACCUUACCCUCUUAGAUUACUGGCAACCUCGCAUCCCCUGAAUUCCUGUUCAGGGAGAAGAGCAAGUCCUUCCUUCAGGGACUGGAGAAUGACAACCUUCACAGAACCCAGAGCUAGAGACUGAGGACUCAGAAUGUAGACUGGGAAUAAGAGAACUACAGCCAGGGGCCAAAUCCCUCCAGCCACAACAACAACAAAAAAAAAAAAAAAAAAA